RNAcentral lists this long non-coding RNA (285 nucleotides) under Sus scrofa (pig). Its description in RNAcentral is "lncRNA (ENSSSCG00070028724.1)". Lineage: Eukaryota; Metazoa; Chordata; Mammalia; Artiodactyla; Suidae. The record is from RNAcentral.
GUUGUGGGUACUCUAUGUGAAUUAAAAUACAAAUCUUUUAUAUUACCCUAUGAAGAAAUUCAGGCAUGGAGAAGUUAAAUAACUUGACUGAAGUCCCACAACUAGUAAGGAUGGAAACUCAGAAAAGAAACUUGAAAAUACAUAAUUUCAAGCUUCAGAAUGGAUAUAUGUCAACAAAAACCAGUCCAUUUGUUGGAAAAUUAAGUCCAUCAUAACUGCAGUUUUCUUGUAAAGAGCAAUAACAGGUAAUAAGGAAUAAAGGAACUUAUCUUAGAAAAAAGUGAC